This 496-nucleotide ribosomal RNA is filed under the name uncultured bacterium. Its description in RNAcentral is "partial 16S ribosomal RNA". It matches the Rfam family "Bacterial small subunit ribosomal RNA", at positions 28 to 506 of the family's 1533-position model. The record is from RNAcentral.
GAUGAACGCUGGCGGCGUGCCUAAUACAUGCAAGUCGAGCGAACAGACGAGGAGCUUGCUCCUCUGACGUUAGCGGCGGACGGGUGAGUAACACGUGGAUAACCUACCUAUAAGACUGGGAUAACUUCGGGAAACCGGAGCUAAUACCGGAUAAUAUAUUGAACCGCAUGGUUCAAUAGUGAAAGACGGUUUUGCUGUCACUUAUAGAUGGAUCCGCGCCGCAUUAGCUAGUUGGUAAGGUAACGGCUUACCAAGGCAACGAUGCGUAGCCGACCUGAGAGGGGGAUCGGCCACACGGGAACUGAGAACCGGUCCAAACUCCUACGGGAGGCAGCAGUAGGGAAUUUUCCGAAAGGGGCGAAAGCUUGACGGAGCAACCCCGCGGGAGUGAUGAAGGUUUUCGGAUCGUAAAACUUUUUUAUUAGGGAAGAAAAAAUGUGUAAGUAACGAUGCACGUUUUGACGGUACCUAAACAGAAAGCCCCGGCUAACUACGU